AUACGUAGGGUGCGAGCGUUGUCCGGAAUUACUGGGCGUAAAGAGCUCGUAGGUGGUUUGUCGCGUCGUCUGUGAAAUUCCGGGGCUUAACUCCGGGCGUGCAGGCGAUACAGGCAUAACUUGAGUACUGUAGGGGAGACUGGAAUUCCUGGUGUAGCGGUGAAAUGCGCAGAUAUCAGGAGGAACACCGGUGGCGAAGGCGGGUCUCUGGGCAGUAACUGACGCUGAGGAGCGAAAGCAUGGGUAGCGAACAGGAUUAGAUACCCUGGUAGUCCAUGCCGUAAACGGUGGGCGCUAGGUGUAGGGGUCUUCCACGACUUCUGUGCCGUAGCUAACGCAUUAAGCGCCCCGCCUGGGGAGUACGGCCGCAAGGCUAAAACUCAAAGGAAUUGACGGGG
RNAcentral lists this ribosomal RNA (398 nucleotides) under uncultured bacterium. RNAcentral's name for it is "partial 16S ribosomal RNA". It matches the Rfam family "Bacterial small subunit ribosomal RNA", at positions 523 to 918 of the family's 1533-position model. The record is from RNAcentral.